RNAcentral lists this unclassified non-coding RNA (389 nucleotides) under Hevea brasiliensis (rubber tree). The record is from RNAcentral. Lineage: Eukaryota; Viridiplantae; Streptophyta; Magnoliopsida; Malpighiales; Euphorbiaceae.
CCAUCACCAAUGAACAUCUGCACACAAUGCAAGUUUAGUUACCUUAAUAUGGGGAACAGACAUCUAGAAUAACAGCACAAAAUAAUUGCUUCAUGGCAUAAGAAAUUUAAGAAUACGCAUUCCAAAGAAGCAGACGGUUAUCUCAAUCACCAAUCAUGUAUCCUUAUGUCAGUUUUAAAAAAUUCAAAUAUCCAUAGAUACAUGCAAAGAUUACAAGAAAAGAAUUGGAAUAGAUGAUGUAAGAUCCCUUGAAUCCUUAAGAUAGUCACUUAGAAGUGCUAAAUCUCAGUGGUUCUUUCAAAAGUUGAACAAAUUAAACAAAAAUAUAUUAAAAAAAAUGUGGUACUUGAACAAGUUGUGGGCCAGCCAAUUUUAGAAAAGUAGCAUUU